CCUACCUGGUUGAUCCUGCCAGUAGUCAUAUGCUUGUUUUCAAAGACUAAGCCAUGCAUGUCUAAGUCCAAGUUGUGUGUGUCGGGCGCAAGCUCUCAUACACGGCGAAACCGCGGACGGCUCAUUAAAUCAGUCGUGGUCCUCAUGGGCUAGACAGUUAUCUUACUUGGAUAACUGUGGUAAUUCCAGUGCUAAUACAUGCAACUAUGAAAUCCCGAAUUGCUCGUCGUGUUUGUGCAUUCGUGUACGGCGCGGCUUCUCGCUACGACGGAUGCUUUUAUUAGACCAAACCGCUGAGAGAGUAGUGCAAUCAAGCGGGCGUCGUUCCGUAAAUGUGCGCGUUUCGGCGCGUGGAGCGUGCGUUCGUUGUGCCUCUCGUAGACUCGUGUUAUGGUGACUCUGGAUAACACUUUGACAAGCGCACGUACCUAUUGAUUUGGGACGGCGCUGCCACUUUCGAGUGUCUGCCUUAUCAGCUAUGAGAUCGUUCGUUAUGUGCUAGCGAUGGCUUUGACGGGUAACGGAGAAUCAGGGUUUGAUUCCGGAGAGGCAGCCUGAGAAACGGCUACCACGUCCAAGGACGGCAGCAGGCACGCAAAUUACCCAAUCCCAGCACCUGGGGGAGGUAGUGACGAAAUCUAACGAUGCGGGCGCCCCUUCUGGGGCCCCGCAAUCGGAAUGAGCAUUUUCUUUCCAAACACCCUGUUGAGAACCUACUGAAGGGCAAGUCUGGUGCCAGCAGCCGCGGUAAUUCCAGCUUCAGCAGCAUAUACUAAAGUUGCUGCGGUUAAAAGGCCCGCAGUUGAAUGUCAGUAUCAAGUGUAGCGAUGGUGGACGUUGGAGUGUGGGAGCGUGAGCCCGCAUGCCGGUGUCGUGCUUCGUCGUUUCGGCGGUGUUCGCGGUGUCCGUGUGUGCGCGGUGAGCCUCCCCACUUAUAACUCCCGUCCGUAACAAGCCUCCUCUCUUGCGUACAAAGUGAAAUCUAUCGGUGGAAACGCGAUUGAGGUGCCAUUCGUGAGGUGCUAUUCGGACGUGUGUGUGUGCGUGUUUCUCUGGGGUGUCGUUUCGGCGGUGUUUUGGGGUGCAUGUGUGUGCGCGCGCUUUGGGUUCACUUUGCGUUGGCGUUAAUAUCUCUUUCGCAUAUGAGAAUCUGGGUUUCAAAGUCACCUUGAGUAAAUCAGAGUGCUCAACAGCAGUCGUAAGGAAUGUGCGGCUCACGCCGUACGUUCUGCGAUGAAUGUCUUUAUUGACAGACAGUCUUGGUUUUGCAUGGUAUGUCGAAAGACGCUGUAAUAUACAAAUAUUCCCUGUUGGUAACGAGUCUGGUGCGGGCUCGCGCACUAAUGGCAUGCAUGCUCACGAAGCGUUUGGCGUUCGCGUCUGCGUCUAGUGGUUUGUGUGUGUGUCGUACAUGCGCGACACAUGAGACCAACAAGUACGGAAUGAUUAAAAGGCACGGUCGAGGGCAUUGGUAUUGCGAGGCGAGAGGUGAAAUUCUAUGACCCCCGCAAGACCCCCUGAAGCGAAAGCGUCUGCCAAGGACGUUUUCAUUAAUCAUGAACGAAAGUUAGAGGAUCGAAGGCGAUCAGAUACCGCCCUAGUUCUAACCCUAAACGAUACCAACCAUCAAUCCGCGCGUAGCACCCUUUCUAACGGGCUCGGCGGGCAGCUCCCCACUCACGGGAAACCAGAGUCUCUGGGUUCCGGGGGGAGUCUGGUUGCAAAGCUGAAACUUAAAGGAAUUGACGGAAAGGCACCACCAGGCGUGGACGCUGCGGCUUAAUUUGACUCAACACGGGCCAUCUCACCAGGCCAGCACUCUUGUACGAUUGACAGAUUGAGAGUUCUUUCUCGAUUCAGUGGAUGGUGGUGCAUGGCCGUUCUUAGUUGGUGGAGUGAUCUGUCUGGUUAAUUCCGAUAACGAACGAGACUCUCCCCUGCUAACUAGACGGUUGGAUCUUGCGUCUGGAGAGUUGUGAGGUAUGCGAGUGCGCUCGUGCCCGUGUCUUUUCUGUGCUUUGCGCGCGUUUUCUUUCGGGAUUGCGUUGUGCGGGUGUGGGGGGGAUGCGUGUGUUGCGUGUGUAUCUCCGGUGUAUCGAACACUCCAAGUCCACCGCUUAAUCAUGGGGCGAUGCGUAACAACAAAGGUCCUAUGAAUGAUACUCUUCUUAGAGGGAUUCACGGUUCUGAAGCCGUAAGAGACUGAGAGCAAUAACAGGUCUGUGAUGCCCUUAGAUGUUCUGGGCCGCACGCGCGCUACAAUGCCGGGCACAGAAGGUAUUCAUCCUUAUCCGAGAGGAUUAGGUAACCCUUUGAAAGCCCUCUCUCAUUAUCAAAGGACUUACGUUCGCGCGCGCGUUCUGCGUGUGCGUGUUCGUUUGUUCUCCGUGGCUUGCUUGGGCCUGGGGCUUGCAAUUCUUUCCCACAAACGAGGAAUGCCUAGUAGCGGCGGGUCACAGAGCCCGCUGUGACUCAGUCCCUGCCCUUUGUACACACCGCCGUCGCUACUACCGAUUGGGUGUACCAGUGAGAUCCUUGGACUGGCGAACCUUGCGCACAAGCAAUUGAGUGCAAGCGUGUACGACGGAAAGAGGCUCGAACUGGUGCACUUAGAGGAAGUAAAAGUCGUAACAAGGUUUCCGUAGGUGAACCUGCGGAAGGAUCAUUA
RNAcentral lists this ribosomal RNA (2668 nucleotides) under Eusirus perdentatus. Its description in RNAcentral is "18S ribosomal RNA". It matches the Rfam family "Eukaryotic small subunit ribosomal RNA". The record is from RNAcentral. Lineage: Eukaryota; Metazoa; Arthropoda; Malacostraca; Amphipoda; Eusiridae.